AGUGAACGCUGGCGGUAGGCCUAACACAUGCAAGUCGAACGGCAGCACAGUAAGAGCUUGCUCUUACGGGUGGCGAGUGGCGGACCGGUGAGGAAUACAUCGGAAUCUACUUUUUCAUGGGGGAUAACGUAGGGAAACUUACGCUAAUACCGCAUACGACCUACGGGUGAAAGCAGGGGAUCUUCGGACCUUGCGCGAUUGAAUGAGCCGAUGUCGGAUUAGCUAGUUGGCGGGGUAAAGGCCCACCAAGGCGACGAUCCGUAGCUGGUCUGAGAGGAUGAUCAGCCACACUGGAACUGAGACACGGUCCAGACUCCUACGGGAGGCAGCAGUGGGGAAUAUUGGACAAUGGGCGCAAGCCUGAUCCAGCCAUACCGCGUGGGUGAAGAAGGCCUUCGGUUUGUAAAGCCCUUUUGUUGGGAAAGAAAAGCAGCAGGUUAAUACCCCGCUGUUCUGACGGUACCCAAAGAAUAAGCACCUGCUAACUUCGUG
RNAcentral lists this ribosomal RNA (492 nucleotides) under uncultured bacterium. RNAcentral's name for it is "partial 16S ribosomal RNA". It matches the Rfam family "Bacterial small subunit ribosomal RNA", at positions 29 to 507 of the family's 1533-position model. The record is from RNAcentral.